This 735-nucleotide ribosomal RNA is filed under the name uncultured Fusobacterium sp. Its description in RNAcentral is "bacterial SSU rRNA". It matches the Rfam family "Bacterial small subunit ribosomal RNA", at positions 28 to 776 of the family's 1533-position model. The record is from RNAcentral. Lineage: Bacteria; Fusobacteriati; Fusobacteriota; Fusobacteriia; Fusobacteriales; Fusobacteriaceae.
GAUGAACGCUGACAGAAUGCUUAACACAUGCAAGUCUACUUGAAUUUGGGUUUUUAACUUAGAUUUGGGUGGCGGACGGGUGAGUAACGCGUAAAGAACUUGCCUCACAGCUAGGGACAACAUUUAGAAAUGAGUGCUAAUACCUAAUAUUAUGAUAAUAGGGCAUCCUAUAAUUAUGAAAGCUAUAUGCGCUGUGAGAGAGCUUUGCGUCCCAUUAGCUAGUUGGAGAGGUAACAGCUCACCAAGGCGAUGAUGGGUAGCCGGCCUGAGAGGGUGAUCGGCCACAAGGGGACUGAGACACGGCCCUUACUCCUACGGGAGGCAGCAGUGGGGAAUAUUGGACAAUGGACCGAGAGUCUGAUCCAGCAAUUCUGUGUGCACGAUGAAGUUUUUCGGAAUGUAAAGUGCUUUCAGUUGGGAAGAAAGAAAUGACGGUACCAACAGAAGAAGUGACGGCUAAAUACGUGCCAGCAGCCGCGGUAAUACGUAUGUCACGAGCGUUAUCCGGAUUUAUUGGGCGUAAAGCGCGUCUAGGUGGUUAUAUAAGUCUGAUGUGAAAAUGCAGGGCUCAACUCUGUAUUGCGUUGGAAACUGUAUAACUAGAGUACUGGAGAGGUAAGCGGAACUACAAGUGUAGAGGUGAAAUUCGUAGAUAUUUGUAGGAAUGCCGAUGGGGAAGCCAGCUUACUGGACAGAUACUGACGCUGAAGCGCGAAAGCGUGGGUAGCAAACAGG